RNAcentral lists this RNase P RNA (368 nucleotides) under Candidatus Saccharimonadota bacterium. RNAcentral describes it as "RNase P RNA component class A". It matches the Rfam family "Bacterial RNase P class A". Rfam says of the family: Ribonuclease P (RNase P) is a ubiquitous endoribonuclease, found in archaea, bacteria and eukarya as well as chloroplasts and mitochondria. Its best characterised activity is the generation of mature 5'-ends of tRNAs by cleaving the 5'-leader elements of precursor-tRNAs. The record is from RNAcentral. Lineage: Bacteria; Candidatus Saccharimonadota.
UAGACAUAGUAGUGACGAUCGCCGCUCGUGAAAACGAGAGGAGGAAAGUCCGGGCAGCAUCAAGGAGUGACAGUUGCUAACGGCAACCAAGGGCAACCUUAGGGAAUAGUGCCACAGAAACAAAACAGCCGCUUGUCGGCUAAAGGUGAAAAGAGCGGGGUAAGAGCCCGCAGUCGUUCAUGGUGACAUGGAUGAGUGGUAAACCCUGUCUGCUGCAAGGAGUGUGAGCUUUUCGUCCAUUAGGGCCGGUUUCCUUGCCGAGUUUGCACGUUUUAAUCCGCUUGAUCCGCACGAGCAAUUGGCGGACUAGAUAGAUGAUCGUCUCCGGUUUACCGGAACAGAACCCGGCUUAUUCAUGUGUUUAGCUU